RNAcentral lists this small nuclear RNA (180 nucleotides) under Oryza sativa Japonica Group (Japanese rice). Its description in RNAcentral is "U2 spliceosomal RNA". Lineage: Eukaryota; Viridiplantae; Streptophyta; Magnoliopsida; Poales; Poaceae. The record is from RNAcentral.
UGAGAUUCAGCUUUAGAAGAGGUGGGACUAGAGUUAGAGCUGUGCCAUCUGUGGACCAUAUAUCCACUGUGAUAUUGAAUUUAUUUUUUAUAGGGGAGGGUCCAUCACAGUGUAUUGCUACUGGGGGCCCUCACGUGUCGCCUAGGCGUUGCACUGAUGCCAGGGCCUGGCACACCCCCA